AGUGAACGCUGGCGGUACGCCUAACACAUGCAAGUCGAACGGCAGCACAGUAAGAGCUUGCUCUUACGGGUGGCGAGUGGCGGACGGGUGAGGAAUACAUCGGAAUCUACUUUUUCGUGGGGGAUAACGUAGGGAAACUUACGCUAAUACCGCAUACGACCUACGGGUGAAAGCAGGGGAUCUUCGGACCUUGCGCGAUUGAAUUAGCCGAUGUCGGAUUAGCUAGUUGGCGGGGUAAAGGCCCACCAAGGCGACGAUCCGUAGCUGGUCUGAGAGGAUGAUCAGCCACACUGGAACUGAGACACGGUCCAGACUCCUACGGGAGGCAGCAGUGGGGAAUAUUGGACAAUGGGCGCAAGCCUGAUCCAGCCAUACCGCGUGGGUGAAGAAGGCCUUCGGGUUGUAAAGCCCUUUUGUUGGGAAAGAAAAGCAGCAGGUUAAUACCCCGCUGUUCUGACGGUACCCAAAGAAUAAGCACCGGCUAACUUCGUG
This 492-nucleotide ribosomal RNA is filed under the name uncultured bacterium. RNAcentral describes it as "partial 16S ribosomal RNA". It matches the Rfam family "Bacterial small subunit ribosomal RNA", at positions 29 to 507 of the family's 1533-position model. The record is from RNAcentral.